UACGUAGGCAGCAAGCGUUGUUCGGAGUUACUGGGCGUAAAGGGUGCGUAGGCGGCUCUAUAAGUAUGGUGUGAAAUCUCCCGGCUUAACUGGGAGGGUGCGCUAUAGACUGUGGGGCUAGAGGGUGGGAGAGGAAAGUGGAAUUCCUGGUGUAGCGGUGAAAUGCGUAGAUAUCAGGAGGAACACCGGUGGUGUAAACGGCUUUCUGGACCACUUCUGACGCUGAGGCACGAAAGCGUGGGUAGCAAACAGG
RNAcentral lists this ribosomal RNA (253 nucleotides) under uncultured bacterium. RNAcentral's name for it is "partial 16S ribosomal RNA". It matches the Rfam family "Bacterial small subunit ribosomal RNA", at positions 524 to 776 of the family's 1533-position model. RNAcentral also lists the same sequence under 1 other name. The record is from RNAcentral.